Molecule: ribosomal RNA, 542 nt
Filed under: uncultured bacterium
Lineage: Bacteria
Description: bacterial SSU rRNA
Rfam family: Bacterial small subunit ribosomal RNA
Source: RNAcentral
UGACGCUGGCGGCAUGCCUAACACAUGCAAGUCGAACGAGAAAGCCCGGUUUUCGGAUUGGGCGAGUACAGUGGCGCACGGGUGAGUAACGCGUGGGUGACCUACCCCUGGAUUUGGGAUAACACUUCGAAAGGGGUGCUAAUACCGGAUACGAUUCCUUUGGGGGACCGAAGGGAUGAAAGGCGGCCUCUCUACAGAAGCUGCCGUACAGGGAUGGGCCCGCGUCCUAUCAGCUGGUUGGUGGGGUAACGGCCUACCAAGGCAACGACGGGUAGCUGGUCUGAGAGGAUGAUCAGCCACACUGGCACUGGAACACGGGCCAGACUCCUACGGGAGGCAGCAGUGAGGAAUUUUGCGCAAUGGGGGAAACCCUGACGCAGCAACGCCGCGUGAGUGAAGAAGGCCUUCGGGUCGUAAAGCUCUGUCAGGUGGGAAGAAAUGCUUUUGCGUGAACAACGUGGAGGUUUGACGGUACCACCAGAGGAAGCACCGGCUAACUCCGUGCCAGCAGCCGCGGUAAUACAAGCCGAAUUCCAGCCAAA